GGGCCCGCACAAGCGGUGGAGCAUGUGGUUUAAUUCGAUGAUACGCGAGGAACCUUACCAGGGCUUAAAUGUAGAACGACCGAUUUUGGGAAACAAGUCUUCUCUUUGAGCGGUCUACAAGGUGCUGCAUGGUUGUCGUCAGCUCGUGCCGUGAGGUGUCGGGUUAAGUCCCUUAACGAGCGCAACCCCUAUCUCUAGUUGCCAGCGGAUAAUGCCGGGGACUCUAGAGAAACUGCCCGUGCAAACGGUGAGGAAGGUGGGGAUGACGUCAAAUCAUCACGGCCCUUACGUCCUGGGCUACACACGUGCUACAAUGGUCGGUACAGAGGGCAGCUACCACGUGAGUGGAUGCA
This 353-nucleotide ribosomal RNA is filed under the name uncultured bacterium. RNAcentral describes it as "bacterial SSU rRNA". It matches the Rfam family "Bacterial small subunit ribosomal RNA", at positions 917 to 1269 of the family's 1533-position model. The record is from RNAcentral.